This is a non-coding RNA of Oryctolagus cuniculus (rabbit), 5962 nucleotides long. Lineage: Eukaryota; Metazoa; Chordata; Mammalia; Lagomorpha; Leporidae. The record is from RefSeq and is a predicted model, not a curated record.
CUCCAGGACAGAGCCCAAAUUCUUCCUGAAAAAUCUGUUUCUGGAACGUAAUGGACUUCUUAACAAGUUCGUGACAUAAAAGGAAAAGGAUAACUGAGUAGCAAAAGGCACAGGAGGACAAAACUUGGCACUGGUAACAUUUUAUUUUCUUAUAAGGGCUUUAAUCAAUUCCAUGAAGCACGAGCAACGGUUACAACUGGAGGGUGUUUUUGCCCAGAACGUAAGGAGGAGGAUGCUUUCCUCUGCCAGAGAAGACGCUUAGGAGACUUUAGGAGACUGGAGCUGAGGGUGAGGCUGAGGGGGGAUCCAGGCCGAGACGCACAGAAACACCCCAGCGCCUUAGCACCUGGCGUAUUUUAAAGGAUGUUUGGCAAAAGGCAAAAGAGGGCUUUCAAUCGGAGCUGACUUCCUUUGUCCUUUGCUGCACCUGUGAGAAAGACAGGCUACUCGCCAGCUGUUUGCACAAAGCUGUUUCUACUAGAAGUUGAAAUGUGAAGACUCUUCCAUCUUGGGCUCCCUCGGGAAACCGUGGCCCUUACCCUCUGCGGACGCUGCUGUCACACUGCUGAACUGUCCUCCUGCCCUCGUUCCCACUCCAGGAGAACAGGGACCCUCCAUGGGAUUCUUGCAUCUCUCUUGCUAUUUCCACAAAUUCUGACGUGCCUUGUGGGGCCCAGGCAACCGUGCUCCCCUUUCAAAGUCACAGCUGUGGGAACACGCAGCACAGAAACCCCAAGGGUACCCCAUCGGGGGUAGGGCCCAGUUGUAGACCCAGGCGCUGCAAGGAAAUUUUUAAAGCACCACUUGUCAUGGAUUCAGCAACCAUGCCCUGACAUGUGAGAGGUGAACAGCAGAGAUAUGAAGAUGUCAAGUCCAGUGUUACAGGUUUUAUUGUGUUCCUCAAAACUGAUACUGUGAAGUCCUCACCCUUAGUACUUUAGAAUAUGAUCUUUGAAAACAGGGCCAUUGCAGAUAUACUUAGCUAAGGUGAGGUCAUACUGCAGUAGGUGGGAACCCAAUCUUAUGCAACUGCUGCCUUUGGAAAAAGCAGACAUCCAACAGGAGAACAUGAUGUCAUGAUGAAGGCCAAGGUCACGGCGAUGUUUCUACAAGCUGAGCAGCACCAAAGGCUGCCACGAAACCACUGGAAGUGAGCGAUAGCAUAGAAUAGAUUCUGCCCCACAGUCCUCAGCAGGAACCAAGCCUAGGACAGCUUGGUCUCAGCUUUCUAGCCUCCAGAACAGUGAAGUGUUGUAUUUAUGUUGUUUAAACUGCCUGCCUGUGAAACUUUGUUAUGGUAGCUAUUAUUAGGAGUCAAGUAAAACUGGUAAGUGCAUUAUCUUCUAUGACUUUAUAAUCUAGUAGAAGGGACAUAGGGAUACUUGGGGUAGCAACAGGUCCUUCACUUAUGUCAUCUAAUUUAUCCAUCAGAAUUUAGUACCUUGAACCCAGUUUGAUAGGAAGAAAUUGCAUAAAGUUCAUGGAAAAAUGAAUUGAAAGCUAACGCACACUUUCCAUGAACUUAGCGAAGACCCAGUGUCAAGAAGACACAGUCAUUCCUCCCCACUUUCUCCCAAAUUUCCCAACCACACUGAGCUUCCAGUGUUGUCUGGUUCUGCCUGCUUUGGAUCUGGGAUCUUGAACCUCUAACCACAGCAUGAUGUGAAACAGAAAUGCCACACGAAGGGAGGACUGAAGUACUCGUGGGUGUGGUGUUGAGUUGCAGUGUCAGUGGGGCUUUGUGGAGGUUCUUCGAGGUGGACAACACGUGGCCUCAACAAGCAUCAUAGGGAAGCAAAUGUCAGUUUCAACGACAUUUGAAACUGACAUUCAACGGGGAGGAAGUUAGGAGUCACACCCUUGAGAGCCGUUUGCCCACAAUGGAUUAUUUUAUUUAGAAAAGAUUGGCUUAUUUUCUUGAUUUUGUGUUAUCAUGUAUAUGCUACAUUCAAAUUCCAGUCGUAUAUUCGUUCUGGAAUCCACUGCUCUGAGAUGUGGCUUCACGUGUAGCAUUAAUUCCUCCAGCUAGAAAGAUUGACAACUGGAGUGGGCGCAGCACUUCAAGGGCAGUGAUCAACCUUGGUGUCAGGUUGGAGUCCACCACUUGCUGGUUGUUCACUGGCUGAAUUAGAAUUAUAGUUCUUUCUUAACACACAACGCAGUUGUAAAAGUAAUCAAAAAAGAGAAUUGAUGUGAAAUUGCAUUUUAAGCCACAAGACAGUUGGAAAUAUCCAUAAUCAGAAAUCUUCAAGCAACCUUUGCCUUCACAUAUCUGUCUACAAACAUUGAUUUACUAUGCUUUGUAUGUAUGUUAUAUGUUGUGGACACACAACAGAGAAUAAGACACACAAAAACAACCACCACAAACAAAUACAUAGCAAAAUGUAGUUAGUGUCAGACACAUUCUGUGGGGGAAAUGUAAGGUAGGAAAAGGUGAUUAGGCAUUCUGGCCAAGUCGGGGUGAGUCUCAAUUUAAAAUAGUAGCCAAGAAAAGCCACCCUGAGGUGACAUCAGAGCAAAACCUGGAAUUAAAGGAGUUGUGUGCACAUCUUAGGAAAGUAAGACUAAUCACAAGUUGAUUCUGUCUUCUCCUAAUGCAAACCCAGAAGAUGUAAUGGAUCAAGAUCUAAGUUCCUGUGUUAUCAUAGAUAAUAGAUGAUAGGUGAACAUUGUGUUUUCAUUAGAGUCAUCUAGUUUGUAAAUUUUUAUCCUGCAGUUCUCAAAAGUGCAGUCAGUUUUAGCAAAUGACUUUGAAUUUGUAAGCUUUUUAAACAGUGUCAAAUUCUCAUCUUUCCCAAAUAUAAAGUUUUUAUUUUAAACAUUAAUUCUUGGGAGAGUAAACAGAAACAUCAUGACAGAAAGUCACCAACAGCUUACUGGAAAAAUAUUAUUCCAUGGAGGGCAAGGUUAUUUAAAAAAAGGGGUUAGAAUUGUGAUACAAUGCAUUAGUUUAUGCAUAAAGAUAUGUGGGCAAAACAGCAGGUUAUCUAAUUCCUUAAAUAGAAAAUCCUUCCCCAGAGAGUACAUUUUUGAUAAAUAUUUUUUUCUUUAAAAAAACCAACAAGUAUUUGUUGUGUUUAUAGUAUGUGCAAAGUCCCAAAAUGAGAGCCUGUGACUCAUGGAGAAAUUUUUUUAAAGGAACCUGCCCUUGUAAAGUGGUUACGAACCAGUUGUAGGUAUUAAUUUUUAGUGGCCACAGGAUUCUUUGUCUAUCAGCCUUUUAAGGACAUAAAGUAAGUGUUUCGGGGGAUUUGCUAAGGGAAUAAAACACAAGAGAGUGGUUUGUUUCUCUGCAUACUGAUAUGUUUGCCUUGCUCAGCAAAGAGAGCAUAUUUUUCUUUUAGACCCUGGUUUCCUUUCUGGUGCAAUUGGAAUUACUUCUGUUGAAACCAUUUUCAAAACAGUUAAAUAACUUUAAAGAAAAGGAUUUAUGUAGGCCCUCUACAGACUACUGAUAUAUGAGUUGUGCCACCAGUUCAUACCCGGUUACAUUUCCUCUGAGAUUGGAGGGAGGGGAAAAAACUUACCACCCAUGUACGGUUUCCUGUAUCCGAGUCCACACAAGAAAUUAAACCAGUGGCAGAAGUUAAUUACCUGUCAGUCCAAGGGCUAAUUUCAAACAAUGGCAUCUUUUAGACACAUUAUUUUAUUUAGCACCCGUAUUCUGCCGUCUCCAAUUGCUGCAUUCAUUUCCCCUGGAUGGAAAAAAAUCUCUGGUAACCACUGUCCUCUUUCUCCAACACUUUCUCAAGGUCUAAGAAUGAACAGUUGCAGGUUCUGCUGCAAUCACAUCUAACAUGCGUAGCACUAGGCUGGGCCCUUUGCAUGAGCUCUGGAAGGGUGUGUUUCUUCUUUUGGUCUGCAGUUCAGACUGCAGCCAAAGGGGCCGAUGCGAUGAGCCCCAGUCUCCCACUGCUGACAUACUUGAAAGGGAGUACAGUACAACAUUUGCCACUGGCUGGCCACACAACGUCAAACCGCCCUUCUGCUUGGGGACAGCGUUCUUGGAAGUAAACAGGCUAGACCCUAAUUUUCCUGUUGCUAGUCUCCUGGUGACCAGGACGCAGGCAGGGCUUGGACAGUCCCACUGGAUGCUCCUGCAGAGGCUGGGUCUUUGGAGCCUGAGAGGCACAGGGGACAGUAGGGACUCUUUCUGGGCAAUGUGCAGUCAAAGCCUUGGUGCCCCGUCUUCUGAGGUCCCUGCCUUUUCCCAAGCCUGUUCCUUCUGCUCCUGUUGAUUCUGUAAGCACCAGACUUCCUUCCAGUAAACCCCACUAGAGCUGGUGUCAGCACCAGAGUUCCUUCCAGUAAGUCCCAGUGGAGCUGGUGCCUGCUACUUGGAACCAGAGCCCUCAGCAACACAGGGCGGCCCUCUGUGAAGAGAGAGGCUUGUGUUUUACAAGGUCACUGGGUUCUCACUUUCCCCAGCCCUCUUAGGGCCUGCAAAACCCAAGGCUAAGAAGGUCUCAGCUCCAGGCCAGAGUCGCGCUGUUCUGUGCUGACAUUUCAUGAGGGGGCUGUGACUCCUGCCUCUGCCACCCUGGGAAGGCUGCCAGGUGUGGGGAGAAGGGAGGCAGGGAGCAGGGGUGGCAAUUUCCCUCCUGCCUUCCAGACCCCAAAAGGUAUUUUGUUGCUCCCAAAAGGGGGAUGCACGAAGCAAUUAGCACUUGACUUUGAACCGAACAGGCCAAUAACUGUAAGAGGCACACUGACAUUGCAUACCACUGAGAAAGGUGAUUCCUGCAAAUUAAUAUAACAUCAAUUCAAAUGGGACAGAUUGUGCGUUUUAGAGGCUAUGUGUUUGGUCUGGAGACUAAGAUGCUCACACCUCGUAUCAGAGUGCCUGGAUUUGAUAUCCACCUGCAGUUUCUGUUUCCAUUAUCCUACUAAAUGCAGACCCCAGAAGGCAGUGGUGAUGGCCCAGGGAACUGGGAUCCUGUCACCCACUUGGGAGACCUGAAUUGAGCUCCUGGCUUCUGGCUUUCAGACUCAGCUCAACCCCGGCUAUUAGAGGCACCUGGGGAGUGAAGCAGCAGAUGGGAGUUCUAUUUCUCUGUCUGUCUGUCUGUCUGUCUCUCUCUCUCUCUCUCUCUAUAUAUAUAUAUACACACACACACACACACACAUAUAUAUAUGCCCCUUAAAUAAAUACUUGUUUAAACUGAGAACUUUAAAAUGACUUGUAUCUUUUGAAAAGAAAAGAAAUCAGGUUCUCAAAGAUAAAAGGGAUGGCAAGGUCAGAGGGGCAGUUCUUAAAAGUUAUCUCCUGUGCUGCUGUCCAUGAAGAUACCUGAAGAAACACAAGGGCUCUUCCAAAUGUUUGUGGAGAAGCAGAAUUAGAAGAUAAACUGAUUUUGGUGCAAAAGAUGUUGAAAUCCAUGGCUAAGUUUUCCAUGAACUCUUUGAAGACCCCUUGUAUGGGUGAGUUUCAAACAUUUUUGUAUGAAAAUAAAGUUAUCUUUAUUGAGAAAUUCCUUAUUCAUUGUUCACUCCCCAAAUGCCUACAACAGCUGGGGCUGAGCCACAUUGAAACCAGAAGCUGGGACCUCAAUGUGAGUCCCCCGUGUGGUGGCAGGAAUCCGGGUCCCAGAGCCAUCAGCACCCGCUCCCCCUCAGGGUCUGCGUUACCAGGAAGACGGAAUCAGGAACCAGGAAUGGAGCCUGGACUGGAAUCUAGGGACUCUGAUACAGGACGUGGGCAUCCAGCAGCAUCCCAGCAGCUCCUAAAUUUACUGUUAAUUCAAUUUUUCAUGAACUUUUUGGAGUUCCCUCGUAUAAAGUCAUGUCCUUUUUUUUUUUUAAUCAAUUUGCUGCUCUGCACUUAAGAGCAAGUGCCCUAGCCCCUCUUAUAAAAUUCCAUGUAUGGAAAUUUCAGGUGAUUAUUCUUAGAACAUAAUUAAAAUGUUUAAGCAGAAAAGCAAUGGCUUCAUUUCUCAAAUUUUAUUUUAGAUUAAAAAGUUCA